CUGCUAAUAUUAACCUAAAUAUUAUAUAUGGCCUUCACAGGUAGCUGAGGGAUCUAAAACAACAAGUGAAGCUAUUGGGAUCGACGUCGACAAAAAAAUAUUUGAUAGUUAGUUGCGAUUCAGAAAAUAGUUGAUGCUUCUUUCUGGAACUUAAGUCCCAGUGAAAGAAUUGAAGAAAUUCGAAGGCAAAGAUCUGACAAUCUUAAAGAAGCUUCACCUAGUGAUGCACUUGGUGUAGUAUUCGGUCCCGAGCACCCUGGUCGUGUUCGAGGGUUAGGCUUGGGUGUAAUUCCAAUUAUAGCAUUCAAACAGACAUCUGGGAGACCCCGUCGUGGUUAUGUGGGUUCAGCUAGCACUAGCGCUCCAACUCCUGAGUGGCAGCAAAAGAUGACAAAUCGCAAUUAAAUACACACUUAGCUUAUAUCAAAGGAACAUAGAAAAUAUCCCUGAGUAGUUUGCUCACUUAUUUCUGACUCCUCUACAGGCACCAGAUCUAGGAAGUGAUGCAUCGUCACCACUUGAUCAAAGAAGAUCUUUAGAUGAAAGCACCAGAUCUAGGAAGUGAUGCAUCGUCACCAGUUGAUCAAAGAUCUUUAGAUGAAAGUAAUAAUGAUGAUCGUCCAAGUGCCAAUUAGUAAUUAUUAUUAUUAGGAUCAACUAUGACUUUUUAGGGUAUUAUUGUUGAAGAAUGUAAUGUUCAUGAUACUUGUGUUGGAAUACUUGAAACAUUAAUAUUUUGAUGAUGUAAUGUUGGAAUACUUGUGUUUUAUAUUAUAAAAAUAUUGCU
This is a non-coding RNA of Nicotiana tabacum (common tobacco), 787 nucleotides long. The record is from RefSeq and is a predicted model, not a curated record. Lineage: Eukaryota; Viridiplantae; Streptophyta; Magnoliopsida; Solanales; Solanaceae.